Molecule: non-coding RNA, 141 nt
Filed under: Chloroflexota bacterium
Lineage: Bacteria; Bacillati; Chloroflexota
Source: RNAcentral
UCGUCUCAAGUUGGCUGAGGUGCCCAGUCCCCCGGAUGGGAGGGCUUAAAGGCGAAGCCGGUAUAGUCCGGCGCUGUCCCGCAACUGUAAGGCAGAGCAUUCCUGCCAAGCCAGGCCGCCCGCCUCAACCCGCUACACCAC